Molecule: ribosomal RNA, 415 nt
Filed under: Cladorrhinum samala
Lineage: Eukaryota; Fungi; Ascomycota; Sordariomycetes; Sordariales; Podosporaceae
Description: eukaryotic LSU rRNA
Rfam family: Eukaryotic large subunit ribosomal RNA
Source: RNAcentral
CAAAUUUGAAAUCUGGCUUCGGCCCGAGUUGUAAUUUGUAGAGGAAGCUUUUGGCGAGGCACCGACUGAGUCCCCUGGAACGGGGCGCCAUAGAGGGUGAGAGCCCCGUAUAGUCGGACGCUGAGCCUCUGUAAAGCUCCUUCGACGAGUCGAGUAGUUUGGGAAUGCUGCUCAAAAUGGGAGGUAAAUUUCUUCUAAAGCUAAAUAUUGGCCAGAGACCGAUAGCGCACAAGUAGAGUGAUCGAAAGAUGAAAAGCACUUUGAAAAGAGGGUUAAAUAGCACGUGAAAUUGUUGAAAGGGAAGCGCUUGUGACCAGACUUGCGCCUGGCCGAUCAUCCGGGGUUCUCCCCGGUGCACUCGGCCAGGCUCAGGCCAGCAUCGGUUCUCUUGGGGGGACAAAGGUCCCGGGAACGU